CUACUCGGGUUUCUAAUCCUGUUCGCUACCUACGCUUUCGUCCAUCAGCGUCAGUAUAUUAUUAGUGAUCUGCCUUCGCAAUCGGUAUUCUGAGUAAUAUCUAUGCAUUUCACCGCUACACUACUCAUUCUAACCACUUCAUAAUAACUCAAGACAAUCAGUAUCAAUGGCAGUUCUCCCGUUGAGCGGAAGACUUUCACCACUGACUUAACUGCCCGCCUACGGACCCUUUAAACCCAAUGAUUCCGGAUAACGCUUGGAUCCUCCGUAUUACCGCGGCUGCUGGCAC
Molecule: ribosomal RNA, 289 nt
Filed under: uncultured Salegentibacter sp.
Lineage: Bacteria; Pseudomonadati; Bacteroidota; Flavobacteriia; Flavobacteriales; Flavobacteriaceae
Description: partial 16S ribosomal RNA
Source: RNAcentral